AAGUCGAACGAGGUCCAUGGAGCCUGCUCCGGAAGACCUAGUGGCGAACGGGUGCGUAACACGUGAGAAACCUGCCCCGAUCUCUGGGAUAACAGUUGGAAACGACUGCUAAUACCGGAUGCCGUCACACCGCUUCAUGGCGGAGUGACGAAAGAUUUAUCGGAUCGGGAGGGUCUCGCGGCCUAUCAGCUAGUUGGAGAGGUAACGGCUCACCAAGGCAUCGACGGGUAGCUGGUCUGAGAGGAUGAUCAGCCACACUGGGACUGAGACACGGCCCAGACUCCUACGGGAGGCAGCAGUGGGGAAUCUUGCACAAUGGGCGAAAGCCUGAUGCAGCAACGCCGCGUGCGGGAAGAAGGCCCUAGGGUUGUAAACCGCUUUCAGUAGGGAAGAAAAUGACGGUACCUACAGAAGAAGGUGCGGCCAACUACGUGCCAGCAGCCGCGGUGACACGUAGGCACCAAGCGUUAUCCGGAUUUAUUGGGCGUAAAGAGCUCGUAGGCGGUUUGGUAAGUCGGGUGUGAAAACCCUGGGCUCAACCCAGAGACGCCACCCGAUACUGCUAUGACUAGAGUACGGUAGGGGAGCGGGGAAUUCAUGGUGUAGCGGUGAAAUGCGCAGAUAUCAUGAGGAACACCAGCGGCGAAGGCGCCGCUCUGGGCCGUAACUGACGCUGAGGAGCGAAAGCAUGGGUAGCAAA
This 700-nucleotide ribosomal RNA is filed under the name uncultured bacterium. RNAcentral's name for it is "bacterial SSU rRNA". It matches the Rfam family "Bacterial small subunit ribosomal RNA", at positions 59 to 772 of the family's 1533-position model. The record is from RNAcentral.